CUGUGCAUAUUUUUGCUGAUCUAAGUUUGUAAUAUCAGGACAGGCUAAACAUUCACUACACAAAGACCAUGCACGUGUCCCCAGUCCUAAUUCUUUCACUAGGUCUGGUUUUUAAAAUGCUGGUAAUAUAU
This is a small nucleolar RNA of Sciurus vulgaris (Eurasian red squirrel), 131 nucleotides long. Its record names the gene SNORA72. It matches the Rfam family "Small nucleolar RNA SNORA72". Rfam says of the family: U72 is a member of the H/ACA class of snoRNAs. The snoRNA gene is located in intron 4 of the ribosomal L30 protein gene in human, mouse and chicken. The record is from Ensembl. NCBI's taxonomy places the organism in Eukaryota, Metazoa, Chordata, Mammalia, Rodentia, Sciuridae.